RNAcentral lists this small RNA (382 nucleotides) under Histoplasma capsulatum. RNAcentral describes it as "hypothetical RNA". Lineage: Eukaryota; Fungi; Ascomycota; Eurotiomycetes; Onygenales; Ajellomycetaceae. RNAcentral also lists the same sequence under 1 other name. The record is from RNAcentral.
AGCAGGGCCGUUGUUAGCUGGUUUCACACUAGCCCCGGAACUUGGAAAGUGGGAAGCGAAGGAUAUCGGGGGUGGAUCUUCCAGGCAGCGGUGACCUCGCCAGAUGGGAGAGUACCAGCUUGAGCUGUAUCUGUAUUGGUGACUUAGACUGUUGGAAACUUGAAUCUCUCGAGUCCGAUGAGUUCAGAGUUCAGUUCUAGACGCAGAUAACGGGCAACCUACUGCUCCCUGAAAAAUAAGCGUCAUUGGGCAUUGAAUAUGACCGCUUGUAAACGCGAAAACCAUGGAACUUACUAGUGAGAAUCAACUCCCGGAAUGGGGCUUCCACAGAAACAGCAGCUCAGCGCGGGCGAAAGGGAUUGAUGGCACACCCGCUUUCUCC